GAUGAACGCUGACAGAAUGCUUAACACAUGCAAGUCUUUGGCGAAGCUGUGCUUGCACAGCCUAGCCAAGGCGGACGGGUGAGUAACGCGUAAGGAACUUGCCCUGCAGUCAGGGAUAACAGACGGAAACGACUGAUAAGACCUGGUAAAGUCAGGCGGACUCAUGUCCAGCCUGAUGAAAAGAGAUGCUGCAGGAGAGUCUUGCGUCCUAUUAGCUUGUUGGUGGGGUAACGGCCCACCAAGGCGAUGAUAGGUAGCCGGCCUGAGAGGGUGGACGGCCACAAGGGGACUGAGAUACGGCCCUUACUCCUACGGGAGGCAGCAGUGGGGAAUAUUGGACAAUGGGGGCAACCCUGAUCCAGCAAUUCUGUGUGCACGAUGAAGGUUUUCGGAUUGUAAAGUGCUUUCAGCAGGGAAGAAAAAAUGACGGUACCUGCAGAAGAAGCGACGGCUAAAUACGUG
RNAcentral lists this ribosomal RNA (462 nucleotides) under uncultured bacterium. Its description in RNAcentral is "partial 16S ribosomal RNA". It matches the Rfam family "Bacterial small subunit ribosomal RNA", at positions 28 to 507 of the family's 1533-position model. The record is from RNAcentral.